GACGAACGCUGGCGGCGUGCUUAACACAUGCAAGUCGAACGGAACGGCCCUGCUUUUGUGGGGUGCUCGAGUGGAGAACGGGUGAGUAACACGUGAGUAACCUGCCACUGACUUUGGGAUAUCUUCAGGCAACUGGGGCUAAUCCCGGAUAGGAGCUACUGCUGCUUGGUGGGGGCUGGUAAGUUUCGGCGGUUGGGGAUGGACUCGCGGCUUAUCAGCUUGUUGGUUGGGUAGUGGGUUACCAAGGCUUGGACGGGUAGCCUGCCUGAGAGGGUGACCGGCCACAUUGGGACUGAGAUACGGCCCAGACUCCUACGGGAGGCAGCAGUGGGGAAGAGUGCACAAUGGGCUGAAGCCUGAUGCAGCAACGCCGCGUGCGGGAUGACGGCCUUCGGGUUGGAAACCGCUUUCGCCUGUGACGAAGCGUGAGUGACGGUAAUGGGUAAAGAAGCACCGGCUAACUACGUG
RNAcentral lists this ribosomal RNA (468 nucleotides) under uncultured bacterium. Its description in RNAcentral is "partial 16S ribosomal RNA". It matches the Rfam family "Bacterial small subunit ribosomal RNA", at positions 28 to 507 of the family's 1533-position model. The record is from RNAcentral.